Molecule: RNA transcript, 2928 nt
Organism: Hipposideros armiger (great roundleaf bat)
Lineage: Eukaryota; Metazoa; Chordata; Mammalia; Chiroptera; Hipposideridae
Gene name: small integral membrane protein 1-like
Exons: 3
Source: RefSeq, a predicted model, not a curated record
CAUCCUGUGGUUAUGCUCAGUCUCCUGAGCUUGUCAGGCAUAACAUGUGGCCCCUUUUCUGUCCACACCACCAUGGCUCCUGCGAUGAAAUCUUCAGGAGGGCGGGGCACUUGUCUGUCAAUCAAACCGAUGUCUGUGCGGCCACCGCAGGACCUGGGCACAGAAGCACGUGCUGAAUGCUGGAGGCCCGCCAGGCUUUGCCCUCUGCCCACACCUGACUUUUCACCCGUGCAGCACCGGCUCGCGGAGUGCAGGCCACCUCGGCCUCUGGCCCCUCGGCCAGGAGCUCUGACGACCAGCCCCGAGCCACGCAGGCCCAGGGCGCCCCAGCCCGGCCGCUGCCGCUUCUUCCGGACACCGAAGCUCCCGGAGCCGCUUCUGCGCUGGAGCCCGUCUUGGCGGAGGGGGGAGGGGGGUCCAGGGAGCAUCGCCGUCAUAAGGCCCGUGUGCUCCGUGCCUCUGCGUUUGGGACACGGGAAGGUUUUAUCCCUUGGGAGAGUUCUAGUUUUCUGAAAUCCGUCUUAAGAAAGUCCUGAGUUCAACGUCUUUAGCCAGGAGAAGGGAGGGGGGCGGGCAAGAGAUGGGGGAGAUUUCCUGACAGCCAGACGCCCGCAGAGUCCCAGGAACAGCAGGAAGUCUCCAAAUCUCUGUUCCCAGGCGGUCCCCGACCCCGCUGAGCCGCGUCUGCUCCUGAGAGUCUUACAAAUCUCUCAUCAACAGUCGAGGCUGUGCAUCUGUCCCCCCACCUAUUCAGGAGGCUGUUUUUGGAGCAUUCCGCUCGCAAUGAGCAAAUCUACAACAGGAACCGUUCGCCGUAAGGUAGGAGAACGCGCGCUAGAAUGGACGUCAGAGUCAGGCAGCAGAAGCAGCGCGUCCCGACACGUUCACAGGAGGACGCGCGGCGCCCUCGGGGCGGCACAGCGGGGACGGGGCUCGGGGAUCUUGCCGCGACCGGUGCUGGGGUGCAGCGCCCCGAGGCCCCUCCCCUCUGCCGCUCCUCCGACAUGCGGUCCCUGCGCCCCGCCCCUGCAACCCAUCCCCGCGGCCCCCACCCCCUGCUGCUGCUCUGCGCCCCGGAGGCCUCUCCGCCUGCAGCCCCCGCGUCCCCCGCGGUGCGGUCCGGGAGGGCCCCGCUCGCCCCGCCCCUGUCCCGCCCGCGGGCCCCGCCCCGCCCCCCGGAGAUUCCUCGCGCCCGGGACUGAUCCGCGCGACACGGGGUGGCCCGGGAGGGGGGAGGCGGGCAGUGGGGUUGUCCCUGGCGGAGGGACCCAGGGACCGAUCCGCCGAGGAGCGGCCAGAUGCGGGCCGCCUGGGGACACUCCAUGGCCCGUUCCCUUCCGACCCCCGACAAGGCCAAUUCUUUUCACCUUUUCUUUUUUUAAGGUUGGAGGCAUCGGCAGCGGGCUGGGAGGAGGUGAGACCCACUGGCCGGGCUCUGAGCAUCUUCCUGGGCCACGGAGGCUUCACUCCCCCGCCCCAAGACUCUCCCUUUGUAAAUGGUGGGCUCCUCAGAGGCGCUUUGGGGGUGAGGGGGGUCUCAGAUCUGUGCAGCUGGCGUCCUCACAAGCUGCCAGGAGGUGGUGGGUGGUACUCGAGGCGCCCAGGGCUUGGCAGGCCGCCCUGCCAGGCAGCUCCGCCCCAGGCUUGUGGGACGCUGUGCGACCAUCGUGGGGGAGGUUGGACGGAAGGUUACUGAGCAAGUGACUGAAGCCCUCAGGAGCCCAGUUCUCGUCCCUCGCCAGCUUCUGGUGGCUUUGUCCAAGCAGGACAACUCUGAGCCACAGUGUGCAUCUGCUGGGAACACCUUCCGCUGCAGUGACCGGAGCCCACCCAGCAGCCCACCCACUGUCCCCAGCCGGAAUAGAGCAGGAUUGACUGCCCUUCCACCAGGAGCUCCCUGGUGGGUUGCUGGCGUGCACUCAGAGACUGCACCAUCAGGGCUGGGGUUGCAAGGUAGCUGCUGCAGCUCCAGCCAUCACAUCAACGCAGGAAGGAGGUGACUGCUGUUUGUCUCAUGAAAAGCAAAAGUGCCCACCCUCCACCACCCCAGCUGCACCUCCCUGUGCCUUGCGCACAUCUGGGUGACACAGGAAAGCAGGGGUCAGGGGAUUAAGCUUGCGUUACCCCAUGACUGUCACUUAGGGCAGGCACCUUGCUACCUGGAACAAGACAAAGAUUCUGCCCACAGGAGGGAAGGGGUGGGCGCAAGGUAGGUAGCUCACAGAGAUGACCCACGGCCCCUCUCUGGGACACACCCUGGGAAAGGCGAGCCCACACUCUGCAAAUGCUUGACCUCCCUCAGGCCCAAGCAGCCGCCUCUGAGCCAGUGCCCCCACCGAUGACAGGCUUUGUGGCCCAGGGACAGGCUCCAUCCUUCCUCCCCGCUGGCCUGGGGUUCGGGAAGGACGAACAUGAGGCGUGGCAGUGGGUAACACCUGCCUGGCUUUCUGACUUUCUGGGUGGGCUUGUAGCAGCUAAGUGGCCCACUGUGACUUUAAGCCUCUGUGUCCAAGAUCUCCUGGGAUCAAGGUCAGUGUUUCUGAGGCCGGUGGGGGCUGAGCCAAGUCUCAGCCCCGAGAAAUGAGAGGCCUGCUGCUGCCCGCCUCCCUGCCUCCCAGCUCUUGGACCCCCAGCAGGCCCAGGGCCUUGCUCUACAGCGAAGUCAGUCCUCAACGCCUGCCUCCAUCUCCCCACCCGCGCGCUGCAGCCCCCAGCCCCCAGCAUGCAGCUGCAGGACAGUGGCGUCCAGUACAGCCGGUGGGACGACAGCAGCCGGGAUGAAGUCAGCGUGGCGGCUGUGUCCAGCACAGAAGAGGCCUCGAGCUGGGAGAGCUGUCACCCUAGGUUCUCCCAGAAGCUGCGCUCCGGCAAGCUGGGCCUCGCCAUGAAGGCGCUAGGGGGCAUGGCCGUCUUCUGGGCCGUCUUCAU